Molecule: long non-coding RNA, 550 nt
Organism: Salvia splendens (bonfire salvia)
Lineage: Eukaryota; Viridiplantae; Streptophyta; Magnoliopsida; Lamiales; Lamiaceae
Exons: 3
Source: RefSeq, a predicted model, not a curated record
GAAAACAUACCUGUAUAGUGGGAAUAUGUUCGUCAUAUACUGUCUUCCUCCUUCGUGCUGAAGAAGAUUGCGAGCAUAAACAGAGACGAUGAUGGCAGCAAUCAGAGCUAUACAGCAACCACUGAAUAAACCUGCACACAAAAGGAACGUUAUCCGGUGCCUCUCUCUUUUCACUCCCGGUCUCAACACCUUCAUUCCUUCUCUCCGAUUUCCAUUUGCAAAGUGCUUGAUAUACGAGGCCUCUAGUUUUUCGGUAUGUUUUUGAAGCAUUCCGUGAAGUUAUCUGCAAAUAAUUCAAGAAGUUUAGUGAAAAUUCAAGAAAGCUAGUUGAUUGAAGGUGAAGUGCAAUGUAACAAAUACCUUGUCAUAUUUCUUCAUGAUCUUGGAGAAGGCAAGUAUAUUCAAGAAACUGCAACAUCAGUUCUGUUAGUCAUGUUACAAUAUCACAUUCUAUCCCAAACUUUUCUGAAAGUCGUGAUAGAAUUGGAAACUGUCAAAUGUUGGGAUAGAAAGUGAUAUUAACCCAAUAUAGAAAGUGCCAAUGGAAGCU